This 464-nucleotide ribosomal RNA is filed under the name uncultured bacterium. RNAcentral's name for it is "partial 16S ribosomal RNA". It matches the Rfam family "Bacterial small subunit ribosomal RNA", at positions 339 to 795 of the family's 1533-position model. The record is from RNAcentral.
CUACGGGGGGCAGCAGUGGGGAAUAUUGCACAAUGGGCGCAAGCCUGAUGCAGCCAUGCCGCGUGUAUGAAGAAGGCCUUCGGGUUGUAAAGUACUUUCAGCGGGGAGGAAGGGAGUAAAGUUAAUACCUUUGCUCAUUGACGUUACCCGCAGAAGAAGCACCGGCUAACUCCGUGCCAGCAGCCGCGGUAAUACGGAGGGUGCAAGCGGUAAUCGGAAUUACUGGGCGUAAAGCGCACGCAGGCGGUUUGUUAAGUCAGAUGUGAAAUCCCCGGGCUCAACCUGGGAACUGCAUCUGAUACUGGCAAGCUUGAGUCUCGUAGAGGGGGGUAGAAUUCCAGGUGUAGCGGUGAAAUGCGUAGAGAUCUGGAGGAAUACCGGUGGCGAAGGCGGCCCCCUGGACGAAGACUGACGCUCAGGUGCGAAAGCGUGAGGAGCAAACAGGAUUAGAUACCCGAGUAGUC